UGCGCAGGCGGUUGCGUGUGUUGGGUGUGAAAGCCCGGAGCUCAACUCCGGAAUUGCGCCCAAAACUACGCGACUAGAGUACCGGAGAGGAUAGCGGAAUUCACGGUGUAGCAGUGAAAUGCGUAGAUAUCGUGAAGAACACCAGCGGCGAAGGCGGCUAUCUGGAAGGUAACUGACGCUCAGGCACGAAAGCGUGGGGAGCAAAAG
RNAcentral lists this ribosomal RNA (207 nucleotides) under uncultured bacterium. RNAcentral describes it as "partial 16S ribosomal RNA". It matches the Rfam family "Bacterial small subunit ribosomal RNA", at positions 568 to 774 of the family's 1533-position model. The record is from RNAcentral.